RNAcentral lists this long non-coding RNA (466 nucleotides) under Junco hyemalis (dark-eyed junco). RNAcentral describes it as "lncRNA (ENSJHYG00000008918.1)". The record is from RNAcentral. Lineage: Eukaryota; Metazoa; Chordata; Aves; Passeriformes; Passerellidae.
GCAGAUUAGUGGUGAGAUAACAAACUAACACCAGGAAAGGCUCCCGGCUCUCUCCAUGCCCAUGGACGUGGACAUCGGCAUGCCCACAACAGAAACAAGACUCCCAAGGAUGGACUUCUAGAAUGAAGCCUGCAACAAAGUGAGCAGAUUUGCACCCAGUCUCUCCACCAGAUGAACCAGGACUGUUUUCAGACAGAAGUGGUCCUGCAGCUAAAAAAAGCAGUGCUCUCUCUCAAGGGUGAUGAUCAUAACUCAGAGAUGGUACUGAAUUCCAAGAUCCACUCCUGUAGCUGCAUGAAGUUCAUCAGACCAUCAGACCUGCCAAGAUGUCCCUGAACAGAUGCACGGAUGCUUUCCUCAAUAUCCCACCCACCUGAUCAGGAAGCAGAACUAAGGGGUGAUGAGACUUCAGUACUCUCCUUGCUAUUAGGUGCAAUAAACCUCCACCUCUAGUGAGGAGAUUGCA